GUUGCCCAUUGUUAAGUUGUUAUAAUAUGCAUUAAUAGUGAGUAAAGGACCACAGGAAUCUCUUAAAAGGUGACUGUGAAAACUUUUAAAACUUUGUUAGGGAUGAUCGACAAGUAGUUGGUUGUGGUAUGAUUUUAUAAAUGAUAUUUUUCCAAGGCUACUGUGCUCCUUUGCAUCUUGUUUUUUGAUGAUCGAAUCUGAAUAAGUAAAAAUAAAAUAUAAUGUACUAUGUAAAAAUGGACACACUUGUUUUUUAAUAGAGCUUACUGAAAUCUACGUGGAUUUUAGUUCCUUCAUGUAUCUUUAAUGAUGUAUGCUUCCUAUUGCCUCUUUAAUUUCCAGUCAUUUGAUCCUUCUGUUGGUAUCGGGAAUGAAUGAAAAAUAUUGCUAGACUGGCAUCAGAAACUCAAGUGUGAACAAAGGGAGUCUUAUUUGAAAAGUCUCAUCCAUGUUUUAUGUGCUUAUUUUGUGUUGUCAAAUGAUCCAUUUUUGUUUGUUUCCUUGCUGAUAAAGGAGGACAAUAGGUCUGGAGUUAAUGAGAUGUAAUGGACACCACUAUUCUCGAGUUUCAGUGAAAGGGCAUUAUAAUGUUUGUGCUACAGAUCAAGCCAGACUUCAAUGUGUUUCAAAAAGGCUACUUUGGAAGUGUUUUGGUUGUGCGGAAUGAUGAUGGGGACACCAGAUUUCUGUAAAAACAGGAAAUUAAUAUUUAGUUUUCCAGAGGCAAGCAAGACAUGCUUUAAUUACUUGAUAUCUUAAAUAGUUAAAUUGCAGUGACUGUCGAAGUAUGUGGUAAUGUCAGAGACCUGAUGUUUUAAGGUUUAACCUCUGCAUGUAUAUCCCUCCCAUACUAGGUAAAGACUAAGGCAAAUGAGGGCUUGGGUGGAGUCACGGCGUGGUUUGGGAAGGUAACAUAAAGCAGCUGACUAAGCUUGUUACUCUGCACUCUUGUGCUGUUAGCAAUGUGUUAUUUAUGGCCUUGGCUAAGUGCCUUUCCUAAUUAGAGCAGAAAGUUCAGGGGUAGGAGGGAAGCACUAGGUGAAGGUGGACAUCCAAAUUGCAUUCAUUGCCUUGGAAACAAUGAGGAGAAAGGAGGCAAUUCAUGUUCAACACGAAAAUGAUGAUGUAUGUUGACAUGCAUUGUCUUGAAGAGUUUUAACAGUAAUUGAUCUUCUAUUUACUAUAAAGAAGAAAUAACUUGAAGUUUCCAUAACACUGCACUAUGCUGUCAAAACUGUAGGGAGCAGGUGACUGGAGGAGCAUUUAAGAUCUGCUGGUUUUAUAAAGGGGAAUGAAAAGUAAUAAACAAGUACCUCUGCGUAAGUUGUUUCUCUGAGUUGUGUGUCUUUUAGUAAUAAAGAGAGCAUAGGAUGUUGGACUAAAAUGAGUGCGUAAGUUGGCUGGCUAAUAAUUUAUUGCUAAAGAAAAGUGGAAACAUCCUUUUUGCAUAUGGAUAAGAAAGUAUGGUCAUAUUUUAUGUGACUGAAUGGCUACAGAGCACAUUCUAGCUUGAGCUGUAAUGUCAAGAUUUUUUUACCUGUUGCCUUGGUGACACAUUGGGAUUUGUCCACAAAUACAUUGAUGCAAAUUGUUUCUCCCCAGAGCUCAGCCAAUUUAAAUUUUACCUCCAAGAGAAACUUCUCAGGGGAUGGGAGUUGUGUGGUGUUUUCUAGCCUCGUUUCUGAGGCUCUUGGUGGCAGCCAUGUGUGGCCUGGUACGGGAUCUGUUUGAUGUGACUUCAGAACUGUGUUACCUACCUGGAGCUGCUGGCUCCAGUUUGUGCCUGUCUUGGUUUUGGGGCUAGUUAGAGGGCAUGUGGUUAAAUACACAUCACCUGUGAUGCCACCUGUGUCCUUUUCAGAGCAGAAACCUUAAUUUCUUGAUGGUGUGCAGUGAGGGGAUCAGAAUGUUUUGAUAGCACUUAAUUCCAUCCUUACACCUUUGGGUUUGCUAUAACUUUUUUAACUUCCACUUGUGUUAACCACGUGGAAACAAGUCACUUAGAGAAUAGACCAGAUUUAAUUUCUUUUGUUUAAAAUCUUGAUACCUUCCUGUAGUUCCUCAGAUGAAUAGAGGAUCUGCAGCUGCAUUUGGGUUGCACAUGGGAGUACCUAACACUGUUUAGCAAUCAAUAUAAAUAAGACUAUUUCCUACCUUCAUCUAGAAAACCUGAGCUCUAAUCUGCCUCUCUUAUUUGAGUGGUGAGGUUUUGUACAGGGUGAUGGAGGUCAGUUUUUGAUGGGUAAGUGUGUGUGUGUGUGUGUUUUGGUUUUGGAGAUGUAGGAAUAAAUCUGUUGGUUCCAAGGAAUUAAACUGUUGGGAUGUACAUGUAAAGAUAGGUGAAGCCAGUGCCACUUAGUCUUACUCUGAUUUUUUUUAAAAUGUAGUUUUCAUCCUACUGAUUGUUCAUAGAGUGUUUUGAGAGUGGACUUAAUUUUUGAAAACUUUUUGAGAGAGGAUUUGAGAGAUAGUACAUUAAAUAAUCUGUAAGCAUUCAAAUCACUUCUUUUUAAGAGGGAAAUUUUUAACCUGAGCCAAACUUUAAAAAAAAAACAAAACAACAACAAAAAAACCAACACCCCCCCCCCCAAUAAAACACAAACCAAAAAAAGCCAAAACAAACAAACAAAACCCCCAGAAACCCUUGCACAAAAAUGUUCUGUAAUAUCUGCCAACAUAUAACAUCCACUUGUUGCUGCUGUUUCCCUCUUAUUGCUGAGUUUUUGUAGUCAGCAAUGCAGUCAGAAUGCAAACAUGUUUGUGAUUAGCUUUUUGGAAGCCAGGAGGUUAUUUGGUCAGGUUUACAUGAAGAGCAAGCUGAACAUGCUUUUUUUUCACAUCAUAUGUCUCCUUCCCCACAAGAUUGCUGUAGUAGUUGAUCUACUAUAGAUAAUGCUUUGGACAAAUGUUUUUGUUUAAGUGAAUGAUCUUAAAUACAUCUUAUCUGUUCUAUUGCACAGAAAUUCCAGCAGAUGUUUUUGUCACUUAAAGCUAAAAUUAACUUCCUGAGUUGUUUCUAAAAUUGACAUCUGGAAGGAAAUUUUUGCAUUCACAAACCUUUCCCUUAAUCACAGGGAGUAUGUCAAGUAUGUGUGUUGCAUGGAGAAAAGAACUGACUCCCAUAUCAAGUUUGGCUGAUACAGGUAAAAAAUAUGGACGAAUGGCUGAAACUGAAUGCCAACUUUCAAGUAAUUAAACAAAUUGAACGGAGGGACAGGUUAACUUUAAUGAAAAGGUAAGUUUUAAUAUGUAAGGAAAGCAAUCCCUGUGUAUACUUCAGCAAACUAGAGGCAUGUGUGUUUUACAUGCAGAAGGGCUUACUUAAAUACAAACACCUGCUCUGCUAACUGCCUUCAUUGAAGAAUACACAGAAAAAAUAAGUAAGCACUACAAAUGAAGAUGAGACUUGAAUACUUGGUAGACACUGUCCUCUCCUGGACAUUUGUAUCAAAGCAUGCACAGAAGUAUUUUAUACUUAAUAUUAUUCAAGAUGAUCUGUUUCACUAAAUAUUUUUUUAUCAGUGGAAAAUCAGAAUAGGGAGUGAGUGAUACCAUGUUAGUCAGUUAAAAUAAAUCUCCCUACCAACUCAUCCCCUGCAUGGGAGCUGAGUAAAACAAGUCAGUCUUAGGCUAUUAGCUACUUGCUAACAAAACGUAGUUUGGUACCUUGAGUUCAGGCAUAUGACUAGGUUUUUUAUUGGGUGGGGCUUGUAUUUUAAGGAGCAUUUUUUGGUUUUGUUCUUUCUGAAAACCGAAGCAUCAGCCCUGGUAAAGGUGUUUCAGUAGCAGGGUAAGUAUGGGAGGUAACACAGCAAGUAGGGCUACUGAAACUAACAACUUAGCCUGAAUACUUUUUUUUUUUUCUCUCCCCCCCCCCCCCUUGGCAAUGUUUCUGUUUAUCAAAAAAGUGGGGUGGAGGAGGCAGCUACAGCCUGUUCACACGCU
Molecule: long non-coding RNA, 3945 nt
Organism: Aquila chrysaetos chrysaetos
Lineage: Eukaryota; Metazoa; Chordata; Aves; Accipitriformes; Accipitridae
Exons: 2
Source: RefSeq, a predicted model, not a curated record